GAUGCCCAAAUAACCAUCCACCCAUUCAUCCAGACUCCCACCUACAUACCAUCCAAAUGUUGAUUUCUGUGAUCACUCCCAAGUCUUUCUGGAGAGUUAGCCCAUUGCAAGAAACUGGAUAAUUGUCAAGCAAACCGUCUUGCUCUGCUAGAAGCUGCAGUACAUUGAGAGAGCUGGGUCAGCCACAUAUCACACACCUACAUGUCAUUAUGAUCAGAGGGAUGCUAUGCAGGGAGGUACUUAGGGAACAUCACAAAGCUUUCAUUGAUGAUGUCAGUGGCUUGUGGCUCAUUUGCUUUGCAAGGGUCACGUGAGAUCACAGGGAGGAAGCAGCCUUCAAGGACUACAGCCCAGUGCCAGUGCCAAGUUCAAGAAGAGUAUCCGGGAUUGCAUGCCAAUGACCAAGAUUCUCAGAGGAGACUCACUUCUCAGAAAUACUAAUGCACAGACAUAGAAUGAACAAUUUUAUGUCAUGAAGUGGGUGGAUGGAUGGGUGUAUGGAUGAGGAAAGUGAUGAGAUAGAGCACAGGUGUCUGGAUGGGUAGAUUUGGUAAGGUUACAUAAGUAAAUGAUGCUGGACCUAACUGUGACCCAGCUGCCUGUCCCUACCUGCUGUUGCUGGUUCUGGAGGUCACUGAUCUCUUCUUGAUCCUUACUGAGCACUUGCAAGUCACCCAAGUGGUGCUUCAGCACGACCCAAUCCUCCAGUAGGUUCUCCUUCUGUUGCCUCAGCAUAUCCAAUUUCUUUUUGAGCUGACUCUGCUCCAUCAGGAGCAGGCUCUGCAGAUCAC
Peromyscus eremicus (cactus mouse) is the source of this 791-nucleotide long non-coding RNA. RefSeq lists it as uncharacterized. Lineage: Eukaryota; Metazoa; Chordata; Mammalia; Rodentia; Cricetidae. The transcript has 2 exons. The record is from RefSeq and is a predicted model, not a curated record.